AUGAUGAUGAUGAUGAUGAUGAUGAUGAUGAUGAUGAUGAUGAUGACAAUUCUCAAAAUGAAAGUCAGCAAAUGAAGGGAGUAGUUCACAGUUAUUUAGAGGAGAGCAUUCGUUCGUACAUUGAUCUGAUCGACACUCUGCGGUCUGUUGGCAUUCAGAAGGACUUGGCAUUACCAACUAUUGCAGUGAUCGGAGAUCAGAGUUCUGGGAAAAGCUCUGUGUUGGAAGCGCUGUCUGGAGUUGCAUUACCAAGAGGAAGCGGAAUUGUCACCAGAUGUCCACUGGAGCUGAGGCUGAAGAAGGUAACUGG
Rhinichthys klamathensis goyatoka is the source of this 310-nucleotide long non-coding RNA. RefSeq lists it as uncharacterized. The transcript is spliced from 3 exons. The record is from RefSeq and is a predicted model, not a curated record. NCBI's taxonomy places the organism in Eukaryota, Metazoa, Chordata, Actinopteri, Cypriniformes, Leuciscidae.